Long non-coding RNA from Lates calcarifer (barramundi perch), 2981 nucleotides. RefSeq lists it as uncharacterized. The record is from RefSeq and is a predicted model, not a curated record. NCBI's taxonomy places the organism in Eukaryota, Metazoa, Chordata, Actinopteri, Centropomidae. The transcript has 2 exons.
AAUUUUUCCACAGUGCUCUAAGACAAACAGGUGCCUCAGUAGUCUCAGAGUGUUCUAAAUAUUUUGAUAUAAAAUACUUGGGUAUUAUAUGAUAUGCAAGCACUUUGAAAGGUUCAUUUAAAAACUGUUGUAAAAAAAUCAAUAAAGACGUAAAUAAAUACAGAGACGUCUCCAGAAUGAGCUGGUCUCUUGUUGGUAGCCAGUCCUGCAUUAGAGUGGUUGUGGCCCAGUAAGAUGAGAUGAGGGGGUCAUACUACUUAGAGUCAGAAAAUUACACCAACAACAAACUACUACACUAUUAACUAAGCUUUGUGCUACUAAAAACUCAUUAUGCUUUGCCCAGAUUAGUCAACAUAACUAAUAUGACUGUAUGUCGAGUCCUAAACUUUACCACCUUUUGAAAGACACACAGACAUCAAUGAAAAAAUAUUUGAUUCCCUAUCUCACAGAGCUCUUUCCUUCAGCCCUGGUGGUCCACGACCUGCCUGGUACAUGUUCAGGUCACUCUGCAGGGAGUUGGGGUUGAUGCAGACAGGCCCAAGAAGAGUCUUCAGGAAGCUCUCCACAUCUGAAUAUGUUGGAUUACAUGUUACGCUGUGUUUUAGUGCUAGUGUUUAGUGUACAACCAAUGGUCACUAACCAAGAAAUGUAACCCAUCAUGCACUGCACUUGUGCUGAAAGAGAGAAAAGUGGCCGCAGUGGGAAAAUUAGAACCAACAAAUGUAAAUAAUUUUCCAGUUAACUUUUGAUAGUAUAAGUUUGUUUAACAUUUUAUUAGCCACGUGAUAAACUCUGAAUUUAAUGUGAAUGCAUUAUGCAAAAUUGUGCAGUUUCCCCAGCAGGGGGUGUAGUCUGACCACUGAGGUCUGACGCUAGAGUUAAUUAUCUGUGUUCAGUAUAAACAGGCCGAGCAUCCUUUUCAUCUUCUCACAAUUUGACGACGUCUUGCUUUUCUAGUGAGAGCAGCACGUCUCAGCUUUCUCCGUCUGAUAAUUCUGUUUUCUUUCUCCCUUCAAAGAUGAACUGUUUAGAUUUUGGCGGUUAAAAGUCAAACUCACUGUGGCCUCACAAAAUCUGUUUUUGGCCAUAUCUCAAGAAGUGUGGUCUCAGGUUUUUGGACCUGCAGACUCACUCUGUCAUAAAUAUGUAAAUAUGUGUAACUAGGCUCAGGCUCACAUUGCACGCAAAUAAUGUUUGAUUGGACAAAAACCUUUUCACCCACUGACAAGAUGUCCUUAUGACUUAUUAACCAACCUUCAUGUUUAGAAUUAGUUUGCUAAUGUAAAGCACAUUUUACUUGAAUUAAAUGUAAUGUUAAGCUGAUACACUAAUGAUUUUCUCUGCUCUGUGUUCUUGAGGAAAUUUAUCAGCUGUAUGGAUUUACAGGUGACAAUGUGUGACUCCUGAAAAGACAUCACCUACAGCCAAGGAGGUUCAUCAGGAUAAAUCCAGAGAGAGGCACUGAGGCUUGACGGGGCAAAGUCGCUCAGAAAAAGAUGAGACGAGUCCAAGUCCUUCACUUUUUCUACUGGUAUUAUAUUUUCACUUAAAGGAUGUCUUAAAGUCUUUAUGUGUUAAACAUGUGGAAUGAAUGCAGGCUGAAUCAUAGCUGUGUCAAUAAAACAUUAUUGUUUAAUGUUUGUCAUUAAUCAUGAAUCCACAACACAGCAGUUUGUUUAGUGAGUAGGAAAAAAAACGUGAGUAUUUACAUCUACUGUCAUACACGUCACAGUUUAUACCCAUGCUAACACAAUAAAGACUUUUAUAUACAAGAAAUACUUAUUAGCAUCAUUGUACAAAGGAAUACCAUCAUAGUAACUCACUGUCUGGAUUUGUCGUUGAUGCAAAAUACACAAAAUAAUAAUAAACCUCCCUCAGCUGCCCUGAAAUAAUCUGAAUAAUUAGACAAAAGGAACUCGUAUUGUUUGCUGUUGUCUAGGUUUAAAAACGGUUUUACAUCAGAAAGUACAAGGCAAGACAAUCACAGUCUACAUGUGUACAAGGUUUGCCCUUUAUGAUCAGUAUAAAUACACUCUCCUUGUUUAUGUACACAGAAAUCAUCGCGUCUCCUCUGUGCACUGAGCAUCGACUCUCCCUUCACAUUCCUCCUUUCAGCUGCAGCGUUUACACAAAGCAAAAAAACUCAAUUUAAAAAAGCGAAUGGUGUUCAGUGGUUUCAGUGUCACAUCAUGCUCACUGCCAGUCUAACCUGUGCAUCGCUAAGACACAAAAAUCUUUUCAGACUGUUUCACAGACUGGAUACAACGUCAAGCGUCUCGACUCUUUGCUUUUGUCACUUUUUUUAAAGUUCCAACCUUUAGCAAAUGUCCCUGCUCUCACACACAAACACCUCAGUAAAACUUUAACAAACAGCUGAAGAAUUCAAACUGGACAUCAUGUUAAAAGCAUCUGAUCGUGAGGGACGUUUGCAUAGUUUAUCCUCAACUGACGAGCUCUGAUUCUCUCAACAUAAUCUUAAUUGUAAUGUUUGUUUUCUGAAGACAUGAGGACUUAGGCCUGUGUAUUUAAUAUAUUUAACUCUGUCUGACCAUUGGCCUGGAACAUAAUAUCACACCAAACAAGUCCUCCGCUCUCUCUCUCAAGUCAAACAAGGUCAAAAUGAACCAAACUGUCCUGAUUCCCCACACAACUACAACUACUUCAAACCCAUCCAUUAGUAUUAACAUUCUGAAUCAAACCUGUCUGUAAUUUCUAGCAUCUGAUUGGUCGGAUUUCACUGUUAGAAACAAGAGGAAGCUUCCACAAAGUGAUUUUUAAAUGGCUGUCAGUGCAUGACACCACAGCUGGAAACCAGUGAGUACUAGUACUGCAGUCUGUUCUUCCAAAACAUGAAGUACUCAAAGUACUGUGGCUGGAAUGAGUAUUACAACAACAAACACAGAACUGUAGAGAGAUCAUUCUGGCAAUACAUGGUUCCUUUAGUCCCAAACUGAACCCCACCAAACAUCUGUCUCCUACAC